AGGGUUUGCGUUGAGGAUUCUAACCUUCUGACGGCUAGUCACAAGACUGCAAGGACAUCCAGAUGUCGAAAUCAGUCCUAAUUCUAAUUCUUCAGCUCGUUACAAGUCACUAUCAAGCGGCAGCACAAUCCAAAGGGGCGUGUACAGCUAAUGAGUUUAUCUGUACCGACGGCCAGUGUGUGUCAUCCGAGAAGAGAUGCGACGGAAACUUCGAUUGCA
Corticium candelabrum is the source of this 219-nucleotide long non-coding RNA. RefSeq lists it as uncharacterized. NCBI's taxonomy places the organism in Eukaryota, Metazoa, Porifera, Homoscleromorpha, Homosclerophorida, Plakinidae. The record is from RefSeq and is a predicted model, not a curated record. The transcript is spliced from 3 exons.